Molecule: ribosomal RNA, 433 nt
Filed under: uncultured bacterium
Lineage: Bacteria
Description: partial 16S ribosomal RNA
Rfam family: Bacterial small subunit ribosomal RNA
Source: RNAcentral
AACGAACGCUGGCGGCAUGCCUAACACAUGCAAGUCGAACGAGAACUUCGGGUCUAGUGGCGCACGGGUGCGUAACGCGUGGGAACCUGCACUUAGGUUCGGAAUAACUCCCCGAAAGGGGUGCUAAUACCGGAUGAUGUAUUCGGACCAAAGAUUUCUCGCCUUUGGAUGGGCCCGCGUUGGAUUAGCUAGUUGGUAGGGUAAAAGCCUACCAAGGCGACGAUCCAUAGCUGGUCUGAGAGGAUGAUCAGCCACACUGGGACUGAGACACGGCCCAGACUCCUACGGGAGGCAGCAGUGGGGAAUAUUGGACAAUGGGCGAAAGCCUGAUCCAGCAAUGCCGCGUGAGUGAUGAAGGCCUUAGGGUUGUAAAGCUCUUUUACCCGGGAUGAUAAUGACAGUACCGGGAGAAUAAGCUCCGGCUAACUCCGUG